GAGUUCGUUAAAGUACAACCCCUGAAAAUGGCAAAAACAAUACAAAUUUUGCGGAGAAAAUUCAAAAUAACCGACUUCCUGUUGGGAUUUCAGAUAUGGUACCCAGAGACUUUUUUGUAGGUAUUGGUGUGAUACAUGUGUGGACCGAUUUUCGUACAUGUACGUGAAACGUAGCUCGAGGCGCACACCGUUGAACAUUUAUAGGUGGCGCUGUUGAGCCAUUUUGCCACUCCCACUUCUGAAACCCUUAUCAGAUGUAAAUUUUCGCCAGUUCUGAUGCGUAUGCAAAGUUUCAUGACUUUUCGAGUAUGUUUAGGCCCUCAAAAAUGCGAUUCAUUUUGGAGAAGAAGAAGAAGAAUAAUAAUAAAUGCGAUUCAUUUUGGAGAAGAAGAAGAAGAAGAAGAAGAAGAAGAAGAAGAAGAAGAAGAAGAAUAAUUAAAGCUGCAAGCAGCGAUGAACGUGCCCUCGCACCCGGGCUCACCGCCAUUGUGUGGCUUUAGUUAAAAGGUGAACGGUGAGAAAUAUGCAUUUAAAGUCGUAAAUAUAAGUGGAAUAUGUCAAAGUCAUUUAUAUGUGCCAAUUUUCCUGUUGCCAGCAGAUGGCGCUAUCAUUAUAAUGGAAUAUUGGCCUUCAGAUUUGUUCAGGCCAGGACUCUUUUCGAACAUGUGAAGUUUGGGGAAGAUCAAACAUUUUAUGCCUGAGUUACACCAACUUAUCUUCCUUUGGCGAGACAUAAAAUUGUGUCACAGCGCUAUGGACACGCCCUUUAACAAAAACUCAAGAUCUCCGCAAUUCACUAUUGCAAAGGUCUUUAGACUAGACUGACCAGAAAAAAAAUAUUGAUGUCAUAAAAUUUCUAGGAGUAGUUUGUUACGGCGUAAAACAUGACACUUCCUGUUGCCAGCAGGUGGCGCUAUGACUAUAACUGAAUAUGGGCACGUAGAUAUGUUCAGGUCAGAAGUCAUAUCUAACAUGUGAAGUUUGGGGCAGAUUGGACAUUGUAUGUCUGAGUUAGAGCAACUUCCUUUUUCAUGGCGAAACAUCGAAAUUUGUCAGGCCGCCAUGGACACGCCGUUUAACGAAACCUCAAGAUCUUCGCAAUUUAAUAUCGCAAAGGGCUUUAGAUUACACUGACCAAUUUUGGUGUUGAUCUGAAAAAAUCUCUAGGAGGAGUUCG
Cyprinus carpio carpio is the source of this 1177-nucleotide long non-coding RNA. The record is from Ensembl. Lineage: Eukaryota; Metazoa; Chordata; Actinopteri; Cypriniformes; Cyprinidae.